GCAGGUUAAUAUGCAUGGAAAGCAAAUAAAAUAAUUGCCUAUUGUCAAACCAUGGCAACAUGAAAGGAUCUGAAAAUGUAAAAGCAGGCUAAGAAAAAUGGAUAAAUGACCACAACUAUGGGAUUUGCUGGAGCUCAAGUACCUAGGGAAACUGGAAAGCAUGAACUCUCCACAACCCUGAAGCCUGAUAUCAAUUAUUAAGGGGAAGUUCACCAUGCUGAUUGCAGCCACUCUGCAACAUUAGAACACCGUGUGAGAUUUGGCCAUUGCUGCUGCAGGCAUCAAAGUGCUCACCAAUAAUUGCAGUCAAAGAGUGAGCAUUGGAGGGCAUGGAAUUUUUUCUGCACAGGUUAUAUGACUGAUUGGACCUCAGAAAAAAACUGAGGAAGAGAGAGAAGAAGAAAUCUAUAUGUGUUUCCUGCAGCAUAAUCCAAAACAGUGCUGGUAGAAUGUCAAGAUAAAUCCUACACCCUGUGAAUGUGCAAUUAUCAUGCCCUGAGAAAAAGCACUUGAUUUUUUUAGAGGGACACAGCAAGUUUGGAUGAUGUUUAAUAUAAUAUCCUUCUCAUGGGCUCGUUAAAUAUCACAUUGCAGAGCCCAAAUGCUGUGGUGGUUUUUUUGGUUUUUUGUUUGUUUGGGGGUGUUUUGUUUUUUUGUUGUUUUUUUUUUUUUUUUUUUAAAGUUCAGUCUUUCAAAACAGAAUGGUGUCCUGUAAUUAAAUCUAUCACAACACUUAUUUUAGAGACCUCGAAUUUGUAGAAUUGAUUGAAUGGUUUAUUUUGUGUUCAUCUCUCCCUCUUGUGGCAGAGUUCAGCAAGGAAAAGGGUUGCUAUUUACAUUUAAAUUGAAACGUGGGUAAUCCUGAAUAUUAUAUGCUUCCAACAUCAGGAUGUUUCUAGGUAUGUUUAAGUUACAGAAUGUUAUGAACUAUUAAGGAUAUAAUUUGAUCUCCUCAAAUAAAUAGUUCACAUUUGCACUUACAUAGCACAGAAAUAUCAUCAUCUCAUUAGACUUUACCUUAACCCUCACUUGUUAAAUGACUGUGUAGGUUAUGCUGUAAAAUGGAUGUGUGUAAGUUAAACAUUUUUUUUGAGAAACCUUUUGAAAGCAGGAGAUUUUUUUUUAAUUUACAUGAAUGUUGUCAUAUUAAUAAUAUUUUUUCUCUAGGGGAAAAAAUACACUAAAUAUCAGUGCAUGGUAAAUGUUACUAUAACAGAAAACUGUAUUGAACCACAUACUGCCUCAUUGCUUAAGGGAGCUGCAACAGUUAUAGAUUUCUCCCAAGGGACAAAACAUAUUUUCAAAAAGCUAUUUCUUCAGUUUGUUCCCCUCACUCAUUUGACAUCCUUUUAUACAGACUGAGUCAUUUUGUUUUGUUAUCAGUCUAAUAUGCUGUUGGACCUCUCAGAUGGUGUUUUGAAAAAUAAAAGAUUAAGGGAAACAAAAAAAAAUUGCUCUUUAAAAAAAAAAAAAAAAGGCACCGAAACCAAACAAUCAAAACAAACCAUGAACCCCAAAAUUUGUAAUUAUGACCAUAAAACUCAGCCAGAAGGGUUUUCUGAUGAAAAUUAUGUAUGAGGUGUGUUUUUCAGGGAGAGGUGCAUGUACAUGUGUGAAAAGAUGUGCACCAAUAAUUUUCCUUUCCUCUAUGUGCAGGUUGACAACCACUAGUUUAGAGGGAUAGACAAGAGGAAAUAUCCUCAAGUUGUGCCAGGGUAGGUUUAGAUUGGAUAUUAGGAAAAUUUCCACACUGAAAGAGUUGUCUAGCCCUGCCACAGGCUGUCCAGGGCAGUGGCGGAGUUCCCAUCCCUGGAGGGAUUUAAAAGACAUGUAGAUGUGGCACUUGAGAAAAUGGUUUGGUGCUGGGCUUGGCAGAGCUGGGUUAAUGAUUGGACUCAGUCUUAGAGGUCUUUUCCAACCUAAAUGGUUGUAAGAUUUACCGAGAACUGGUGGCAAAGCAGUCAAGGUUCCAAUACCUUGGACUGGAUCUUCUUGCUUGGGCUCUGACUGGUGGUGGAUUCUGAUUGUUCCACUGUGAGUCAGCAGUCAGCACACUGGGAGACAGACAUGAAAUCUGCAUCCCUUCCUCAUGCACCAUACCCUGUAGAUAGUGGGGUAUCCACCUACCAGAAUGUGAAGAGGCUUCUAAGGGUCUUUUAAAUUGUCCAGUGUGUUUAAGACAUUCAUAUAGAAGUGAGUUGUGUAACAAAAAACCUACUUAUCUCCUUCAGGAGGAAUUGCAGAAUUCUGCUGAGUUGCUUUAUUCUCAAAGCACACUGGAAGCUGCAGAGACUGCUCAAUAAAACUCUGGUGGAUGAGAUUAACCUUGGAAUUACAACACAUUUAUGUGUGCAUUAACAAUAACUCCACUAACUCAUUGGGAGCUAAAAUACUGUCUCUCUGGAAGAUUACUAUCUUUACCUCUUAAUCUAGCUCUGAAUCCUACCCUAAUAUACCUUAAACAUGUCAGCUUAAUGAUCAGAUUAAGUUUGUAAAAGCUAUGGGCAUGCUUUGCAUUGAGACAGCUCUGAAAAGGGCAGGCUCUCAGUUCCCUUGAAAACAAAGCUCAAAAGCCAAACAAGUGUCUUCUUCAAAUUCUGAUUUUGAAAAAGUCUUUAAAGGAAUCAGUAUUUUCAAUUAAAUCAUUUAAGAUUUAGUGAUUUAUACUGGAACACAAACGUUCCUGAUAAUGCUUUUAGCAUUCUUUUAAAAAUUUUCAACUUUUUCACUUGAGAGUUGUUUGCCUGACACUGUUUGUCCAUCUGGUCAGGUCAUUUGUUCCUCACCAUGGCAACUGGGUUAUUGUACAUCAGUGGUCUGAAGCAUAAAUGUAUUUAUUGUCCUUAUUGUUGUCUCUAGGGUGAGGAAAUGAGGGUUGUCUUACAACAUGAAAACAAUAAGGUCUGUAGCCAGCUUUUUUUCUCUGUGAGUAGAAGUGUCUCAAUCAUAGUUCAUCACUGUUCAAAAUGGCAUUUGUGUCUGUUUCCUCAUAGUCUCCCUCUUGCUGAUAGUUUCAUCUUUUCUAAAAGACAUUAGGCUGAGCCAGAGGGAAAGCUUUUCAGUGAGAUAUUAGUUUCCUUUGCUGGGAGAUUAAAAGCCUCAAGUCUUGACCUUCUCGUUUCUGAUCUGUAUUAACAUAGUGGAUAGGAUUUUGAUCACAGGGUUUGGGAUUUUGUUCCUACAAGCAACAAAAUAAGCCCUGUUAGAGAUUACAGCAUCUGUGUUUGCUUUGCCAAGUCAACCCAUGGUGGGACAUGGUGUUUGCAGUUGUUUGCAGGAAGAACCAAGCAAACUGAAAUAAAUUGCUCUCUUGGAAUUGCUCAA
Long non-coding RNA from Pseudopipra pipra, 3324 nucleotides. RefSeq lists it as uncharacterized. The transcript is spliced from 4 exons. The record is from RefSeq and is a predicted model, not a curated record. NCBI's taxonomy places the organism in Eukaryota, Metazoa, Chordata, Aves, Passeriformes, Pipridae.